Molecule: long non-coding RNA, 368 nt
Filed under: Marmota monax (woodchuck)
Lineage: Eukaryota; Metazoa; Chordata; Mammalia; Rodentia; Sciuridae
Source: RNAcentral
CCCUGGCCAAACCUCCAUCAUUCCAGAAUCUCUUCAUAACAACAGACACAUGUGCCCAGCAAUAAUCCGCCCUCCCUGUGUGUGCCCAUGGGGAGCGUGUGUGUGUGUGUGUGUGUGUGUGUGUGUAACUGUGUGUGAAGGGGGCAAGGUAAGGCUGUGCCUGUGCCCCAGGUCCCAGCCCUGGUCCUUCCCAGACUGUGAUGACCACCCUGGUCCCAGUGUUAGGGUAACAUGGGAUUAUAGGGCCCUAGAUUUUCCACAUUUAAAGCCAAUUUUUAUUACUCAUUUUGUCCAUUGUAAGCUGCCACGUGUCUCUGUGAAUACAGUCUGAGCACAAACCUAAAAAAAAGAAAAAAGAAAAGAAAAGG